GGUGGGGGUUGGAGGUAGAGAAGUGCAGUGGUGUGAACACGGCUCACUGCAGCCUCGACCUCCUAGGCUUUGUGAUUCUCCCACCUCAACCUCCCAAGUAGCUGGGAUCACAGGCAUAUGCCACCACACCUGGCUAAUUUUUUAAUUUUUCUGUAGAGACAGGGUCUUGCUGUGUUGCCCAGGCAAAUCUCAAAUCACUGGACUCAAGUGAUUCUCGUGCCUCAGGCUCCCAAAGUGCUGAGAUUACAGGUAUGAACCACUGUGCCCAGACUUACAAAAAAAAAUGAAUUUACUUGGCUUUCUUUAUGAUGUAUGCCCAACUCCCCCAAACACCAUAUCUGAGGAGACCCUAUCUUUUUAGGCCUUUAAGAAGAUGGGUGCUGAGUAAGUGUUGCAGUCAGUCUCUAAGGAUCGAACACCUUAGGGUGCCAGGAAUGCUUGGCGCAUGUAAGCACUCAGUAGGUGGGGAAACCGAGGCCAGGAGAGAUGAAGGGACUGCCCCCAGUCCCUAGAGGGAACUGGUGAUAGUGUGUGGGCCGAGGCCAUCUCUAGGGGUCGUUCAGGGCUCCCUCCUUCCCAGCCAACCUGGGAGGUCAGGCGAGGCUCUGUCAUCGUGGAGCCUGGAGAGAGCGGCCCUUCAGGCACUUUGUGAUCAUCUUUCUUUCUUUAGCAGCCAACAGUAUCCACUGCUGGCCGAAUGCCUGCCGUGCGCCAGGCACUGUCUGGAACCCACAACCAUCUGGUUUCAAAGCUCUUUCUCUUCAUAGCCCCAGGCUGGCUAUAUCCGUCUUUUCUAUAUAGACCAAAAGUUGGCAAACAUCAGCCCUCCGGCCAAAUUUGGCCCACUAACUGCUUUUAUAAAUAAAGUUUUAUUGGAACAGAGCCAUGGCCAUUCACUUAUGCACUGUCUGUGCCUGUUUCUGCACUAUAGCAGCAGAGUUGAGUAGCUGCAAAACCGCCUGCAUGGCCCCCAAAGUCUAAAAUAUUUAUUCUUUGGGCCAGGUGUGGUGGCUCACGCCUGUAAUCCC
RNAcentral lists this long non-coding RNA (1028 nucleotides) under Homo sapiens (human). RNAcentral describes it as "HSALNT0195110". Lineage: Eukaryota; Metazoa; Chordata; Mammalia; Primates; Hominidae. The record is from RNAcentral.